RNAcentral lists this ribosomal RNA (462 nucleotides) under uncultured bacterium. Its description in RNAcentral is "bacterial SSU rRNA". It matches the Rfam family "Bacterial small subunit ribosomal RNA", at positions 917 to 1382 of the family's 1533-position model. The record is from RNAcentral.
GAGCCCGCACAAGCAGUGGAGUAUGUGGUUUAAUUCGACGCAACGCGAAGAACCUUACCAGGGCUUGACAUCCACGGAAGGCCGAGUAAAUUUGGCCGUGCCCCUUCGGGGGAGCCGUGAGACAGGUGGUGCAUGGUUGUCGUCAGCUCGUGUCGUGAGAUGUUGGGUUAAGUCCCGCAACGAGCGCAACCCUUACGGUUAGUUGCUACGAAAGAGCACUCUAACAGGACUGCCGUUGACAAAACGGAGGAAGGUGGGGAUGACGUCAAAUCAUCAUGCCCUUUACGCUCUGGGCUACACACGUACUACAAUGGCGUAAACAAAGGGGAGCAAGGCGGCGACGCGGAGCAAAUCCUAAAAAGACGCCCCAGUUCAGAUUGCAGGCUGCAACCCGCCUGCAUGAAGUCGGAAUUGCUAGUAAUCGUAAAUCAGCAUGUUACGGUGAAUACGUUCCCGGGCUUU